AUGGUGGCGGCGGGGCCUCGGUUGCCCCGCUCCUGUGUGGGGAACCUCGGAUCUGGAGCGGCGGCUCCAUUGGCAAGGCACGGCCGGCUACAACUGUGCGGGUGGUGGAUCUGGUAUCCCGGCCGCGCGGGCGGCGCGAUCCGGUGGUCGUUGACGGCCGGCGGCGGCUUCUGCUGCGGUCGGUGUGCGCGAUCUGGCGCGUCCCUUCCUCCCCUGUUCGGCGUGCGGGCCAGUCUGGUCGGGCCGCGCUUCCUCUUGGUCGCUGGUUCUGUACAGGAGGUGUUGCUGGUGGCGGAGAUCUGUUUCGGGCGAAAUCCCUGGCCGGCCAUGACCGGCCGCGCCGACGGGGACGCCUGA
RNAcentral lists this ribosomal RNA (357 nucleotides) under Triticum aestivum (bread wheat). RNAcentral describes it as "partial small subunit ribosomal RNA". Lineage: Eukaryota; Viridiplantae; Streptophyta; Magnoliopsida; Poales; Poaceae. The record is from RNAcentral.